This 63-nucleotide transfer RNA is filed under the name Rectidens sumatrensis. Its description in RNAcentral is "tRNA-Leu". Lineage: Eukaryota; Metazoa; Mollusca; Bivalvia; Unionida; Unionidae. The record is from RNAcentral.
UGAGGGGUGGCAGAUACAUGCCUUAGGCUUAAGACCUAAUUAUAAGAUUAAACUUCCCCUCAA